GGCGAACGCUGGCGGCGUGCCUAAUACAUGCAAGUAGAACGCACAGUUUAUACCGUAGCUUGCUACACCAUAGACUGUGAGUUGCGAACGGGUGAGUAACGCGUAGGUAACCUGCCUGGUAGCGGGGGAUAACUAUUGGAAACGAUAGCUAAUACCGCAUAAUAUUAAUUAUUGCAUGAUAAUUAAUUGAAAGGUGCAAUUGCACCACUACCAGAUGGACCUGCGUUGUAUUAGCUAGUAGGUGAGGUAACGGCUCACCUAGGCGACGAUACAUAGCCGACCUGGGAGGGUGAUCGGCCACACUGGGACUGAGACACGGCCCAGACUCCUACGGGAGGCAGCAGUAGGGAAUCUUCGGCAAUGGACGAAAGUCUGACCGAGCAACGCCGCGUGAGUGAAGAAGGUUUUCGGAUCGUAAAGCUCUGUUGUAAGAGAAGAACGGGUGUGAGAGUGGAAAGUUCACACUGUGACGGUAUCUUACCAGAAAGGGACGGCUAACUACGUG
RNAcentral lists this ribosomal RNA (505 nucleotides) under uncultured bacterium. Its description in RNAcentral is "partial 16S ribosomal RNA". It matches the Rfam family "Bacterial small subunit ribosomal RNA", at positions 28 to 507 of the family's 1533-position model. The record is from RNAcentral.